UGUCACGGCCUUGAAGGAUGUUCCAGUUCAUGUAACCAAUGUUACGACGGCCUUUUGAACACUUGGUUUCUCUAGAGGGGGCACAUCUACAGAACGGUAGACUUCAGGCGGCAUCGUAUCCUACCAUUCAUCUCUGGGCACUCGGACAAAACCCAGAUCAAUAAGUCAACGCUCAUGCAAUGUGGAUGCAAAUCUUUGAGAGUUGCAAGGACGUGGACGAAAGGCAUCUGAACACAACAGAGAAAGAUUGUUUGGUAUUUCUAGAAUUAUGGGUCUAUUUUAUUACCGUUAUGUAUUUGUUGAGGGUGCAGUUGCAGGUUAUGGUUUGGUUUCCUCUGAGCUUGAAAUUAUCUUUUGGGCAUGUCUUUUAUUCCUGGAAAUAUCUAGAAUAUUUAUAAACGUGGGCAAUAUUCUGAGAUUAAGUAUUUCAGCUUUUGGGGCAGGAUGCCAGGUUAAGGGCUCUGGCCUUACAUGGUUUAUUUUUUUUGGUGAGGUUGUGAGCCUUGUUUAUUGGUGGUAGUAGUUAAUUUGUAAAAUUGGGGAACUGUAUUUUAUGUAUGUUGUAUACUAUGUAUGUUUUAGUACCAACAGCAACAAACUACUAGAUCGACUUAAGGUAGGUCUGUUGGCUGUAUUUUGAUAUGAGAAGAUUAUCAAAGGACUCCCAAGAUCUUCAUCGCCGUUCAGCUCAAGGUGAGGUGCUGGUUACGUUACUUAUGGGUGGUCCGUGCUGGAACGUUGGGAUUCCAGUCGGACGGUUUUGGGUUGUUUGCGCAGGUUGGUAGUUAGAUUUAUGGAUGUUGAGUCCCCUGAGGGCAACUGGCAGUACGAUCCUCUGGUAUUACCCAAUUUCUUCAGUAACCAUCUACAAUAUUUGACAAAUUUAUUGAGGGCAUACAUUAUAAAUCAUAACAAUGGCAGUUAUCAGAAAAACAUCGCGUAAAACAACGUCUUCAAUAAUUGCUAUCUACAAACGACCCUGCAUUCUUGCGCGCUAAUUUUCGAGUCUCGCGUACACGAUGCGGAGAUCUCUGAAGACUGCAACAUUUGAAUUUGAGGCAAUUUGACGUUUCCAUACUACGGCUCCUUAGAUCUACAACCAGCAGCUGACUGGCUAAGUAUAAUUUGAAUUAUAUUACUAUUGAUACUGCUAUUCUUAAAAUUUGGGCUGUGACUUUCAGUUAAACCCAACUAAAUGGCAAGGAGUUACUUCUUGCAUUAUAGGCUACUUUUGAAGACUAGUAACGGUACCUAAUCUGAAGGUAAUGAACCGCUAAAAUAAUGGAUCCAUGUCUCACAUGUUGAAGUAAUAUAGACCAAAGAGCUGUACAGAGUUGAACUCGUAACUGUGUUUUGUGUCACAAGGUGUUCGUCUCCUCGCCUCCCUGCUGUCACCACCGGUCUGAAGUCCAUAACCGUGAGUGGGGCCAGCUCCAGCCCUUGCUGUCCUGAACCUGAACAAGAUGUCCAUCGAACCGCACAGCAUGGUCGGAGGCAGGAGACGCGGAGGAGGAAGAGCUGCACCAGGCUCGCCAGUGGAAGUGGCAUUCGAUAGUGUUCCCCUGGACCAGGGUGGACCAGAGGCUGAGGACCAGACCCCCUGGACCAGGAAUGGGGCCCCAGGAUGGACCAGAGGCUGAGGACCAGACCCCCUGGACCAGGAAUGGGGCACCAGGGUGGACCGGAGCCUGUGGACCAGACCCCCUGGACCAGGAAUGGGGCACCAGGGUGGACCGGAGCCUGUGGACCAGACCCCCUGGACCAGGAAUGGGGCACCAGGGUGGACCGGAGCCUGUGGACUAGACCCCCUGGACCAGGAAAAGGGCACCAGGGUGGACCAGAGGCUGAGGACCUGACCCCCUGGACCAGGAAUGGGGCACCAGGGUGGACCAGAGGCCGUGGACUAGACCCCCUGGACCAGGAAUGGGGCAGAGGCUGAGGACCAGACCCCCUGGACCAGGAAUGGGGCACCAGGGUGGACCGGGGCCUGUGGACCAGACCCCCUGGACCAGGAAUGGGGCACCAGGGUGGACCGGGGCCUGUGGACCAGACCCCCUGGACCAGGAAUGGGGCACCAGGGUGGACCAGAGGCUGAGGACCAGACCCCCUGGACCAGGAAUGGGGCACCAGGAUGGACCAGAGGCCGUGGACCAGACACCCUGGACCAGGAAUGGGGAACCAGGGUCGACCGGAGCCUGUGGACCAGACCCCCUGGACCAGGAAUGGGGCACCAGGGUGGACCAGAGGCUGAGGACCAGACCCCCUGGACCAGGAAUGGGGCACCAGGGUGGACCAGAGGCUGAGGACCAGACCCCCUGGACCAGGAAUGGGGCACCAGGCUGGACUGGCGGGUAACCAGUUCCCCUGGACCAGGUAUGGGGCACCAGGGUGGACUGGGGCCUGUGGACCAGACCCCCUGGACCAGGAAUGGGGCCCCAGGGUGGACCGGAGGGUAACCUGACCCCCUGGACCAGGAAUGGGGGCCCAGGGUGGACCGGAGGAUGUUGGAGAGCUGACAGCGGAGCCAGGGUGGAGGGAAGCUGAUGGAGCUGUGGUGGAGGGGCUGCCUGACGAAGCCUGACUCUAAAGAAGCUGAUGACCAACCAGGAACGAGACGAGGACUACGAUGGGACUGCUUAAGUCUUCUGAAGGAGUCCUUGGCUGAGGAGGGCUGAUGGGGGGAACCGUGCAUCUGGAGGAAGACCAUGGAUCUGCCGGCCAAUAAGGAGUACUGGGAAGUUUGCAUAACUAUCGUUUACAGUAAAUCGGACAUUACAGCAAACCAUAUUUUGCCGAACAAUUUAAACCACUGCUGUGUGACCAGACUAACUACCAAUGUUUGAUACCAGACAUGGAGGGGAACCCACCGGUGGGUUGCAGACCAUGGCUCUUUGGUGGAGGGGAGCUUACGGAGUUGUGCUGAUGACCACCUCCUGGGACCAGAAUUCCUUUGCCGAGGAGAGCUGACGGAGGAGCGAGGCACCAGGAGGAAGACCGUGACUCCGUCUACCAGCCAGUGGAAGUGAUAAGGCUGCAUCAACUAUAGUUUACUAUCGGACAUGACGGCCAACUAUGUAACCAGACUGAAUAAUGCUGUUUGUUACCAGAUGCACCACUGCUGUUUGUUCCAGACUAGGACUCCGGGAUGGAGGGGAGUGAUGGAGGGAGCCGUGCUCAGGAUCUGCUGGGGGAGGAUGUCCCUCGUGGCGUAAUGGCACCCGUCUCUGAGAUGACUCAGACGACCCACCAGGAUCUGCUCGGAGGACUACGAUGUGACUGCUGAAGUCUCUGGAAGAAUAAAGCUGCACCCACCCAUGGCUCAACUAAUGGUGUUAACCAGACCAGGAACCUUGGCCGAGACCUGAAGGAGGAGCCGUGCAUCUGGAGGAACACCACGAGGCUACCUGCCAAGGAUUACUGGUGCGGUUGAAGUGCUGUGUUCGGUCCGGGGGAAGACGCAACUGAGCCGUAUCUCACCUGCAUCUGAACCUCCGGAGCUCUUCAGAUUGACCAACCCGCGGCGCCGCAUCACAGCUCCUCGUCGCUGGCCUGUGGAUUCAUCUUCUAACACACUCGCAGAACGUGACUUUGUCACAAUCUGCUGCACGUCAGGAGGCUCCUAACGUGUUCCAUCGAUGGUUUCUUUCCUCCCCACUGUGGGAGUGUUCCUUGUUUUUUCAAGUCGUUGGGGUUCAGAGUUAGGGACAGAGUUAGGGAAAGAUGGUUAAUUCAUGGACUGGUUUCACGACGAACUGCUCGAAUUGGGACACACCAGUCCACCCCAAAAUGUUUCAAUGUGCACACGCUUGUUCAAAUGUAUACAAAGGUGUUUUAUAAUAUAAAAUACUAUUCAAAUCCUACCUGGUUGCUUGGU
Molecule: long non-coding RNA, 3874 nt
Organism: Gadus chalcogrammus (walleye pollock)
Lineage: Eukaryota; Metazoa; Chordata; Actinopteri; Gadiformes; Gadidae
Exons: 12
Source: RefSeq, a predicted model, not a curated record